RNAcentral lists this ribosomal RNA (600 nucleotides) under Nocardioides marinus. RNAcentral's name for it is "bacterial SSU rRNA". It matches the Rfam family "Bacterial small subunit ribosomal RNA", at positions 85 to 698 of the family's 1533-position model. Lineage: Bacteria; Bacillati; Actinomycetota; Actinomycetes; Propionibacteriales; Nocardioidaceae. The record is from RNAcentral.
UGGUACUCGAGCGGCGAACGGGUGAGUAACACGUGAGUAAUCUGCCUCUGGCUUCGGGAUAGCCACCGGAAACGGUGAUUAAUACCGGAUACGACACGCUCUUGCAUGAGAUGUGUGUGGAAAGUUUUUUCGGCCAGGGAUGUGCUCGCGGCCUAUCAGCUUGUUGGUGGGGUAAUGGCCUACCAAGGCUUCGACGGGUAGCCGGCCUGAGAGGGUGACCGGCCACACUGGGACUGAGACACGGCCCAGACUCCUACGGGAGGCAGCAGUGGGGAAUAUUGGACAAUGGGCGGAAGCCUGAUCCAGCAACGCCGCGUGAGGGAUGACGGCCUUCGGGUUGUAAACCUCUUUCAGCACAGACGAAGCGCAAGUGACGGUAUGUGCAGAAGAAGGACCGGCCAACUACGUGCCAGCAGCCGCGGUAAUACGUAGGGUCCGAGCGUUGUCCGGAAUUAUUGGGCGUAAAGGGCUCGUAGGCGGUUUGUCGCGUCGGGAGUGAAAACACCGGGCUUAACUCGGUGCUUGCUUUCGAUACGGGCAGACUAGAGGCAUUCAGGGGAGAACGGAAUUCCUGGUGUAGCGGUGAAAUGCGCAGAUAUC